This 467-nucleotide ribosomal RNA is filed under the name uncultured bacterium. Its description in RNAcentral is "partial 16S ribosomal RNA". It matches the Rfam family "Bacterial small subunit ribosomal RNA", at positions 28 to 507 of the family's 1533-position model. The record is from RNAcentral.
GACGAACGCUGGCGGCGUGCUUAACACAUGCAAGUCGAACGGAAAGGCCCUGCUUUUGUGGGGUGCUCGAGUGGCGAACGGGUGAGUAACACGUGAGUAACCUGCCCUUGACUUUGGGAUAACUUCAGGAAACUGGGGCUAAUACCGGAUAGGAGCUCCUGCUGCAUGGUGGGGGUUGGAAAGUUUCGGCGGUUGGGGAUGGACUCGCGGCUUAUCAGCUUGUUGGUGGGUAGUGGCUUACCAAGGCUUUGACGGGUAGCCGGCCUGAGAGGGUGACCGGCCACAUUGGGACUGAGAUACGGCCCAGACUCCUACGGGAGGCAGCAGUGGGGAAUAUUGCACAAUGGGCGGGAGCCUGAUGCAGCAACGCCGCGUGCGGGAUGACGGCCUUCGGGUUGUAAACCGCUUUCGCCUGUGACGAAGCGUGAGUGACGGUAAUGGGUAAAGAAGCACCGGCUAACUACGUG